GAGUUUGAUCGUGGCUCAGAUUGAACGCUGGCGGCAGGCCUAACACAUGCAAGUCGAGCGGAUGAAGGGAGCUUGCUCCUGGAUUCAGCGGUGGACGGGUGAGUAAUGCCUAGGAAUCUGCCUGGUAGUGGGGGAUAACGUCCGGAAACGGGCGCUAAUACCGCAUACGUCCUGAGGGAGAAAGUGGGGGAUCUUCGGACCUCACGCUAUCAGAUGAGCCCAGGUCGGAUUAGCUAGUUGGUGGGGUAAAGGCCUACCAAGGCGACGAUCCGUAACUGGUCUGAGAGGAUGAUCAGUCACACUGGAACUGAGACACGGUCCAGACUCCUACGGGAGGCAGCAGUGGGGAAUAUUGGACAAUGGGCGAAAGCCUGAUCCAGCCAUGCCGCGUGUGUGAAGAAGGUCUUCGGAUUGUAAAGCACUUUAAGUUGGGAGGAAGGGCAGUAAGUUAAUACCUUGCUGUUUUGACGUUACCAACAGAAUAAGCACCGGCUAACUUCGUGGCAGCAGCCGCA
Molecule: ribosomal RNA, 515 nt
Filed under: uncultured microorganism
Description: bacterial SSU rRNA
Rfam family: Bacterial small subunit ribosomal RNA
Source: RNAcentral